This 71-nucleotide small RNA is filed under the name Polaribacter sp. SA4-12. Its description in RNAcentral is "Flavo-1 RNA". It matches the Rfam family "Flavo-1 RNA". Lineage: Bacteria; Pseudomonadati; Bacteroidota; Flavobacteriia; Flavobacteriales; Flavobacteriaceae. The record is from Rfam by way of RNAcentral.
GUUUAGCCCUGAUUGAAGUGACAUCCUUUUUGCUUUUUUGCAAAAAGAUAUAACGGAAAGCAGGAAUUAGC